AAAUAAACGAAGAGCACAUAUUAAAAAAUUUUAAUAGUAAAAUAAGUUGUUAAAUAAAUAGUAAUUUAUCUUUUUAAUAACGAAAGAUAUUAAUAAUUUAAAAAAAAUUGAUUUAUAAAACUGCUUUCUAUUAUUAACAAGUGAAAUGGUUUUCUUUGUUUUCCCUUAUUUUCCAUGAAAAAUGAAAGCUAAAACUUCCUUAGAAAAUGAAAAAUAAAAAGAACAAAAACCAGUUUUCCACAGAUAAAUAGGCCCUUAAAAUUCACAAAAAUGCAUAAUUCCCAAUACAUAUGUUACAUAAAGUUUUAAUAUUGACAUUUUUAUUUAUCAAUGAUAAACUAAAUCCGUUGAGAAGUAAGUACCAUAAUAAAUAAAUGAUAGCUUUUGACAAGCAAGCAGUACUUACAUAAUUGAUAACGUUACUUGGGGAGAAGGAAGGAAAAACUGAAAAGAAAACCCCAAAUUUCAGAGGAACAAAAACAGAUUCAAGUAAAAGCAAUCUCUGAUACCCAACAUAAGCAAUUAUAGCUACCAGGACCAUUGCAAUAGUAGCAAACACCAGAACAACAAAACGUGCCCAUUUCACCAAAGCCAAAUAACCAAUCACAACAUCUAGUCCUACCAUAACACUCCACAAAUUGGCGAAUUAGAAAGGCACCCCUCUUCAAACGAGCUCUUAUUUAGUAUCAAAAUCACCAAAAUGAAUUGGAGCAAUUAGAAUUAUGGGAAAAAAAAAGAGACCCAAAUCACCCAAAUCAAUCACAGUAAAAAAAAAAUAAAAUAAAAUUUCUUGAAGUUUCAUAAACAUGGCAAAAAGAAAUACCCAGAAACUAAAAAGCUCCAAUUUCCAAUAUAAACAAGAAAACCCACCAAGAGAACUGAAUAAUUGGCUAGUAAUAAAGCACCAUAACACGAAUAGAUCUACUCCAUUGAAUUCAAACUAAUCAUUACGAACACAGAAAGUUCAGGAAAAUCUUAAAUCACUAAC
RNAcentral lists this unclassified non-coding RNA (988 nucleotides) under Hevea brasiliensis (rubber tree). The record is from RNAcentral. Lineage: Eukaryota; Viridiplantae; Streptophyta; Magnoliopsida; Malpighiales; Euphorbiaceae.